This 497-nucleotide ribosomal RNA is filed under the name uncultured bacterium. RNAcentral describes it as "partial 16S ribosomal RNA". It matches the Rfam family "Bacterial small subunit ribosomal RNA", at positions 28 to 507 of the family's 1533-position model. The record is from RNAcentral.
GAUGAACGCUGGCGGCGUGCCUAAUACAUGCAAGUCGAGCGAACGGACGAGAAGCUUGCUUCUCUGAUGUUAGCGGCGGACGGGUGAGAAACACGUGGAUAACCUACCUAUAAGACUGGGAUAACUUCGGGAAACCGGAGCUAAUACCGGAUAAUAUUUUGAACCGCAUGGUUCAAAAGUAAAAGACGGUCUUGCUGUCACUUAUAGAUGGAUCCGCGCUGCAUUAGCUAGUUGGUAAGGUAACGGCUUACCAAGGCAACGAUGCAUAGCCGACCUGAGAGGGUGAUCGGCCACACUGGAACUGAGACACGGUCCAGACUCCUACGGGAGGCAGCAGUAGGGAAUCUUCCGCAAUGGGCGAAAGCCUGACGGGGCAACGCCGCGUGAGUGAUGAAGGUCUUCGGAUCGUAAAACUCUGUUAUUAGGGAAGAACAUAUGUGUAAGUAACUGUGCACAUCUUGACGGUACCUAAUCAGAAAGCCACGGCUAACUACGUG